RNAcentral lists this ribosomal RNA (390 nucleotides) under Laimosemion sp. Atabapo. RNAcentral describes it as "partial 12S ribosomal RNA". It matches the Rfam family "Bacterial small subunit ribosomal RNA", at positions 830 to 1384 of the family's 1533-position model. Lineage: Eukaryota; Metazoa; Chordata; Actinopteri; Cyprinodontiformes; Rivulidae. The record is from RNAcentral.
GCAUAGCCAUAAAUCUAAACAGAAUAAAUACUAAUUCUGCCCGCCAGAAAACUACAAGCAUAAGCUUGAAACUCAAAGAACUUGGCGGCGCUUUAGACCCACCUAGAGGAGCCUGUCCUAUAACCGAUAACCCCCGUUAAACCUUACCUUCUUUAGCAUCCAGUCUAUAUACCGCCGUCGUCCAGCUCACCCUUUGAAGGCAAAAUAGUAAGCAAGAUUAGUAAAGCUCAAGACGCCAGGUCAAGGUGUAGCAUAUAAGAAGCGAAGAGAUGGGCUACACUUCCUAACCCUAGGGCUUCACGAAAAGUAUUUUGAAAUAAAUACAUUGAAGUAGGAUUUAGCAGUAAGUAAAAAAUAGAGAGUUUUACUGAAGCUGGCCCUGAGGCGCGC